UGGGCAUGCUCUGUUUGCACUGAAGCAAUGUCACUCAUUGGGUGGUACAAGACACCAGCUGGAAUGUGUCUACUGUGGGAAGAGAAAAUUUUCUCCAGAGAAAUGCCACAGAUGUGAAGAAGCCAGUCAGGCCAAGAGGCCACCAUUGUGGAGCGCUUCAUUGUGAGCUACCAGUUCUCAACUCCAAGGAUUCCACAGCCUCCAGCAUCACCCAUGUCACCCAACUUGCCUGCAGUUCACUCUGAAUAUGACUGAGGCAGUUAAGACCUACAAGUGGCAGUGCAUAGAAUGCAAAUCCUGUAUCCUGUGUGGGACCUCGGAGAAUGAUGACCAGCUACUCUUCUGUGAUGACUGCGAUCGAGGCUAUCACAUGUACUGUUUAAAUCCCCCAGUGGCUGAGCCCCCAGAAGGAAGCUGGAGCUGCCAUUUAUGCUGGGAGCUGCUCAAAGAGAAAGCAUCAGCCUUUGGCUGCCAGGCCUAGGGCCCCAAUCACGGAAUGCAGCCCGCCACUAGAGAGGCUGACCCGAAGCCCUAUUCAACCCAUACAGGAUGGAGGUCUCCUCCUGUAUAUGCACACAGACCAACUGCAAGGAAAACGGAUAAUUACAGAAGGGUAUGGACAAGUGGAGCGGUGAGAGCAAGGUCUCCAUUCACCCCUCGCCCUACCCGCGACCUCCCGCCCCUGCACAUACUUCAGCCAGCGCUUCCUCAUUUCUGCCAGAGGGAACCUGGCAUAUUUGAAGAGCAAUCCAGCCCCUGCUCUGUGGAAC
This 770-nucleotide long non-coding RNA is filed under the name Rattus norvegicus (Norway rat). Its description in RNAcentral is "long non-coding RNA NONRATT025179". The record is from RNAcentral. Lineage: Eukaryota; Metazoa; Chordata; Mammalia; Rodentia; Muridae.